Molecule: non-coding RNA, 149 nt
Organism: Brachypodium distachyon (stiff brome)
Lineage: Eukaryota; Viridiplantae; Streptophyta; Magnoliopsida; Poales; Poaceae
Source: Rfam
AAGCGAAGAUCCCAGCAGAGGGGCGUGAUUCUCCGUCGUUGAGGCCUCUCUAACAACAAUUAAUCUUCGCAGAGGAACGAGACGCCGUGGAUUUGUGGAUGUGUGAUUUAUUCUGGUUCUGUCACAUCUGUUGCCAUGGCUACAUCAUU